AUACUACUCCCUCCGUCCGGAAAUACUUGUCCUAAAGAUGAAUGUAUCUAGACUUAUUUUAGUUAUAGAUACAUCCAUUAUAUCCAUUUUUAGGACAAGUAUUUCCGGACGGAGGGAGUACUUA
This 124-nucleotide microRNA precursor is filed under the name Hordeum vulgare. Its description in RNAcentral is "microRNA MIR1122". It matches the Rfam family "MIR1120/MIR1122 microRNA precursor family". The record is from RNAcentral. Lineage: Eukaryota; Viridiplantae; Streptophyta; Magnoliopsida; Poales; Poaceae.